This 254-nucleotide ribosomal RNA is filed under the name uncultured bacterium. Its description in RNAcentral is "partial 16S ribosomal RNA". It matches the Rfam family "Bacterial small subunit ribosomal RNA", at positions 524 to 776 of the family's 1533-position model. The record is from RNAcentral.
UACGUAGGGGGCAAGCGUUAUCCGGAAUUACUGGGCGUAAAGCGCGCGUAGGUGGUUCGUUAAGUUGGAUGUGAAAUCCCCGGGCCUCAACCUGGGAACUGCAUUCAAAACUGACGAGCUAGAGUAUGGUAGAGGGUGGUGGAAUUUCCUGUGUAGCGGUGAAAUGCGUAGAUAUAGGAAGGAACACCAGUGGCGAAGGCGACCACCUGGACUGAUAAUGACACUGAGGUGCGAAAGCGUGGGGAGCAAACAGG